CUUGCUCCCUGAUGUUAGCGGCGGACGGGUGAGUAACACGUGGGUAACCUGCCUGUAAGACUGGGAUAACUCCGGGAAACCGGGGCUAAUACCGGAUGCUUGUUUGAACCGCAUGGUUCAAACAUAAAAGGUGGCUUCGGCUACCACUUACAGAUGGACCCGCGGCGCAUUAGCUAGUUGGUGAGGUAAUGGCUCACCAAGGCAACGAUGCGUAGCCGACCUGAGAGGGUGAUCGGCCACACUGGGACUGAGACACGGCCCAGACUCCUACGGGAGGCAGCAGUAGGGAAUCUUCCGCAAUGGACGAAAGUCUGACGGAGCAACGCCGCGUGAGUGAUGAAGGUUUUCGGAUCGUAAAGCUCUGUUGUUAGGGAAGAACAAGUACCGUUCGAAUAGGGCGGUACCUUGACGGUACCUAACCAGAAAGCCACGGCUAACUACGUGCCAGCAGCCGCGGUAAUACGUAGGUGGCAAGCGUUGUCCGGAAUUAUUGGGCGUAAAGGGCUCGCAGGCGGUUUCUUAAGUCUGAUGUGAAAGCCCCCGGCUCACCCGGGGAGGGUCAUUGGAAACUGGGGAACUUGAGUGCAGAAGAGGAGAGUGGAAUUCCACGUGUAGCGGUGAAAUGCGUAGAGA
RNAcentral lists this ribosomal RNA (633 nucleotides) under Bacillus spizizenii. Its description in RNAcentral is "bacterial SSU rRNA". It matches the Rfam family "Bacterial small subunit ribosomal RNA", at positions 79 to 696 of the family's 1533-position model. Lineage: Bacteria; Bacillati; Bacillota; Bacilli; Caryophanales; Bacillaceae. The record is from RNAcentral.